CGGCUGCUGCAGCAGUCAUGGCGACCACCGGCAGCCCCCCGCGUUUUCCAGCCAAGCCCUGCCCGAGGAUUGGACGCGCCUCUUCUCCCCCCCCCCGCUCCCCAGGGAUUUUUUUUUUAAGGGAUGAGCUGUUGGCUCUUGGAACAAGCAAAAUUGUCAGCUGGAAGAACAUUUGAAUCCAUCCUGCCAUCUCCAGGCAGCCUGGUGUCAACUUGAUGAUCAGCAUAAAAUAGAAGCCGAAAUCACAUUGAUGCAGCUAAGGGCAAAGCUAACACACUGAAGUUCAUAGUUGUAAUAGUUUUACUGGAAAUUAAUCUGCCUUGUGUCCUCCUUGCAAAAGCUGAUAGUACCAUGAUUUAUUGUGGUAAUCUCUCAAAUAAAAAAAAAUGCUAUACUAGUACACUUACCUGAGGUCUACUAAAGUAGAAGAAGCUUAAGAACAUACCGUAUAUAACUCUCCAAAGCUUGGGGUCUUCACUCUCCAAAAUGAGCCAUCCAAUUGUUCCAAAGGUGCUGUUUCAAAAGGCAAUUGGACUUCAUUUUUUCUUGAAGAUGUUUUGCUUCUCAUCCAAGAAGCAUCCUCCGCUCUGACUGAAUGCUGGGCAAUGGAAGGAUUUGUAUUUUUUGCAAUCAUUUAGUUGUUAGCACUCUGAAGGUUACCACCUAUAGACAGAAUCUUGCCAGAAUAAGCACUCUACUCUCUACAUCUACCAUACAUUCUGUGAAAUAUUAGGGAGGGGCUGUCUUCACUCUUUCCCUCACACAAAAUACAGGUAGUCCUUGACUUAUGACC
This is a long non-coding RNA of Crotalus tigris (Tiger rattlesnake), 793 nucleotides long. RefSeq lists it as uncharacterized. The transcript has 3 exons. NCBI's taxonomy places the organism in Eukaryota, Metazoa, Chordata, Lepidosauria, Squamata, Viperidae. The record is from RefSeq and is a predicted model, not a curated record.